AUUGAACGCUGGCGGAAUGCUUUACACAUGCAAGUCGAACGGCAGCACGGACUUCGGUCUGGUGGCGAGUGGCGAACGGGUGAGUAAUGUAUCAGAACGUGCCCAGUCGUGGGGGAUAACGUAGUGAAAAUUACGCUAAUACCGCAUACGAUCUAUGGAUGAAAGCGGGGGAUCGCAAGACCUCGCGCGAUUGGAGCGGCCGAUAUCAGAUUAGGUAGUGUGUGGGGUAAAGGCCCACCAAGCCAACGAUCUGUAGCUGGUCUGAGGGGACGACCAGCCACACGGGAACUGAGACACGGUCCAGACUCCUACGGGAGGCAGCAGUGGGGAAUUUUGGACAAUGGGCGAAAGCCUGAUCCAGCCAUUCCGCGUGCAGGAUGGAGGCCCUCGGGUUGUAAACUGCUUUUGUACAGAACGAAAAGGUUUCUACUAAUACUAGGAGCUCAUGACGGUACUGUAAGAAUAAGCACCGGCUAACUACGUGCCAGCCGCCGCCGUAA
Molecule: ribosomal RNA, 500 nt
Filed under: uncultured bacterium
Lineage: Bacteria
Description: partial 16S ribosomal RNA
Rfam family: Bacterial small subunit ribosomal RNA
Source: RNAcentral